UACGGAGGGUGCAAGCGUUAUCCGGAUUCACUGGGUUUAAAGGGUGCGUAGGUGGGUAUGUAAGUCAGUGGUGAAAUCCCCGAGCUUAACUUGGGAACUGCCGUUGAUACUAUAUAUCUUGAAUAUUGCGUAGGUAAGCGGAAUAUGUCAUGUAGCGGUGAAAUGCUUAGAUAUGACAUAGAACACCAAUUGCGAAGGCAGCUUACUUCACGAUUAUUGACACUGAGGCACGAAAGCGUGGGGAGCAAACAGG
This 253-nucleotide ribosomal RNA is filed under the name uncultured bacterium. RNAcentral describes it as "partial 16S ribosomal RNA". It matches the Rfam family "Bacterial small subunit ribosomal RNA", at positions 524 to 776 of the family's 1533-position model. The record is from RNAcentral.